GGAGCACGAUACCCUCGGGAAACUGAGGCUAAUAGUGCAUACCACAAUCCACCUGGAAUGAGGAUUGUGCCAAAUGCUCCGGCGCCGAAGGAUGUGGCUGCGGCCGAUUAGGUAGACGGUGGGGUAACGGCCCACCGUGCCAAUAAUCGGUACGGGUCAUGAGAGUGAGAACCCGGAGACGGAAUCUGAGACAAGAUUCCGGGCCCUACGGGGCGCAGCAGGCGCGAAACCUUUACACUGCACGCCAGUGCGAUAAGGGAAUCCCAAGUGCGUAGGCAUAGAGCCUGCGCUUUUGUCCACCGUAGGGAGGUGUACGAAUAAGGGCUGGGCAAGACCGGUGCCAGCCGCCGCGGUAAUACCGGCAGCCCGAGUGAUGGCCGAUCUUAUUGGGCCUAAAGCGUCCGUAGCUGGCCGCACAAGUCCAUCGGAAAAUCCACCCGCUCAACGGGUGGGCGUCCGGUGGAAACUGUGUGGCUU
RNAcentral lists this ribosomal RNA (477 nucleotides) under Halorubrum lipolyticum. RNAcentral's name for it is "bacterial SSU rRNA". It matches the Rfam family "Archaeal small subunit ribosomal RNA", at positions 118 to 594 of the family's 1478-position model. Lineage: Archaea; Methanobacteriati; Methanobacteriota; Halobacteria; Halobacteriales; Haloferacaceae. The record is from RNAcentral.